RNAcentral lists this ribosomal RNA (464 nucleotides) under uncultured bacterium. RNAcentral describes it as "bacterial SSU rRNA". It matches the Rfam family "Bacterial small subunit ribosomal RNA", at positions 28 to 517 of the family's 1533-position model. The record is from RNAcentral.
AACGAACGCUGGCGGCAUGCCUAACACAUGCAAGUCGAACGCUUCCGGGGGUUUCGGCCUCCGGGGGAGUGGCGCACGGGUGAGUAGCGCGUGGGAACCUGCCCUGUUGUGGGGGAUAACCGAGGGAAACUUCGGCUAAUACCGCAUACGCCCGAGGAGUGAUCUUCGGGGAAAGAUUUAUCGCAGCAGGAGGGGCCCGCGUCGGAUUAGCUGGUUGGUGGGGUAACGGCCCACCAAGGCGAUGAUCCGUAGCGGUCUGAGAGGAUGAUCAGCCACACUGGGACUGAGACACGGCCCAGACUCCUACGGGAGGCAGCAGUGGGGAAUAUUGGACAAUGGGGGCAACCCUGAUCCAGCAAUGCCGCGUGAGUGAUGAAGGCCUUAGGGUUGUAAAGCUCUUUCGCCCGCGACGAUGAUGACGGUAGCGGGAGAAGAAGCCCCGGCUAACUUCGUGCCAGCAGCCG